GUCCACACCGUAAACGUUGGGCGCUAGGUGUGGGAUCCAUUCCACGGGUUCCGUGCCGCAGCUAACGCAUUAAGCGCCCCGCCUGGGGGAGUACGGCCGCAAGGCUAAAACUCAAAGGAAUUGACGGGGGCCCGCACAAGCGGCGGAGCAUGCGGAUUAAUUCGAUGCAACGCGAAGAACCUUACCUGGGUUUGACAUACACCGGAAAGCUGCAGAGAUGUGGCCCCUUUUUGCGGUGUACAGGUGGUGCAUGGCUGUCGU
Molecule: ribosomal RNA, 261 nt
Filed under: uncultured bacterium
Lineage: Bacteria
Description: partial 16S ribosomal RNA
Rfam family: Bacterial small subunit ribosomal RNA
Source: RNAcentral